CCUACGGGGGGCAGCAGUGAGGAAUAUUGGUCAAUGGCCGGGAGGCUGAACCAGCCAAGUCGCGUGAGGGAAGACGGCCCUACGGGUUGUAAACCUCUUUUGUCAGGGAGCAAGGUGCAGGUCGGGACCUGCUGUGAGAGUACCUGAAGAAAAAGCAUCGGCUAACUCCGUGCCAGCAGCCGCGGUAAUACGGAGGAUGCGAGCGUUAUCCGGAUUUAUUGGGUUUAAAGGGUGCGCAGGCGGAGGCACAAGUCAGCGGUAAAAUCGCGGGGCUCAACCCCGCUCCGCCGUUGAAACUGGGUGCCUUGAGUGCGCGAAGGGUAGGCGGAAUGCGUGGUGUAGCGGUGAAAUGCAUAGAUAUCACGCAGAACUCCGAUCGCGAAGGCAGCCUACCGGCGCGCAACUGACGCUCAUGCACGAAAGCGUGGGUAUCGAACAGGAUUAGAUACCCCAGUAGUC
RNAcentral lists this ribosomal RNA (459 nucleotides) under uncultured bacterium. RNAcentral describes it as "partial 16S ribosomal RNA". It matches the Rfam family "Bacterial small subunit ribosomal RNA", at positions 338 to 795 of the family's 1533-position model. The record is from RNAcentral.